This 622-nucleotide ribosomal RNA is filed under the name uncultured bacterium. Its description in RNAcentral is "bacterial SSU rRNA". It matches the Rfam family "Bacterial small subunit ribosomal RNA", at positions 31 to 699 of the family's 1533-position model. The record is from RNAcentral.
GAACGCUGGCGGCAUGCCUAACACAUGCAAGUCGAACGAGACCUUCGGGUCUAGUGGCGCACGGGUGCGUAACGCGUGGGAACCUGCCUUUAGGUUCGGGAUAACAGUUAGAAAUGACUGCUAAUACCGGAUGAUGUCUUCGGACCAAAGAUUUAUCGCCUUUAGAUGGGCCCGCGUUGGAUUAGCUAGUUGGUGGGGUAAAGGCCUACCAAGGCGACGAUCCAUAGCUGGUCUGAGAGGAUGAUCAGCCACACUGGGACUGAGACACGGCCCAGACUCCUACGGGAGGCAGCAGUGGGGAAUAUUGGACAAUGGGCGAAAGCCUGAUCCAGCAAUGCCGCGUGAGUGAUGAAGGCCUUAGGGUUGUAAAGCUCUUUUACCCGGGAUGAUAAUGACAGUACCGGGAGAAUAAGCUCCGGCUAACUCCGUGCCAGCAGCCGCGGUAAUACGGAGGGAGCUAGCGUUGUUCGGAAUUACUGGGCGUAAAGCGCACGUAGGCGGCUUUUUAAGUCAGGGGUGAAAUCCCGGGGCUCAACCCCGGAACUGCCCUUGAAACUGGAGAGCUAGAAUCUUGGAGAGGCGAGUGGAAUUCCGAGUGUAGAGGUGAAAUUCGUAGAUAUUC